This 27-nucleotide small RNA is filed under the name Bombyx mori (domestic silkworm). Its description in RNAcentral is "ovarian small RNA-21042". Lineage: Eukaryota; Metazoa; Arthropoda; Insecta; Lepidoptera; Bombycidae. The record is from RNAcentral.
UACGAUUAUGCGGUCGAAUUAAAUGGA